This 460-nucleotide ribosomal RNA is filed under the name uncultured bacterium. Its description in RNAcentral is "partial 16S ribosomal RNA". It matches the Rfam family "Bacterial small subunit ribosomal RNA", at positions 338 to 795 of the family's 1533-position model. The record is from RNAcentral.
CCUAGGGUGGGCAGCAGUGAGGAAUAUUGGUCAAUGGACGAGAGUCUGAACCAGCCAAGUAGCAUGAAGGAUGACUGCCCUAUGGGUUGUAAACUUCUUUUGUACGAGGGUAAUAUCAGAUACGUGUAUCUGCUUGAAAGUAUCGUACGAAUAAGGAUCGGCUAACUCCGUGCCAGCAGCCGCGGUAAUACGGAGGAUCCAAGCGUUAUCCGGAUUUAUUGGGUUUAAAGGGUGCGUAGGCGGUUUUAUAAGUUAGAGGUGAAAAUUCGGGGCUCAACUCCGGACGUGCCUCUAAUACUGUAUGACUAGAGAAUAGAUGCGGUAGGCGGAAUGUAUGGUGUAGCGGUGAAAUGCGUAGAGAUCAUACAGAACACCGAGUGCGAAGGCAGCUUACCAAACUAUAUCUGACGUUGAGGCACGAAAGCGUGGGGAGCAAACAGGAUUAGAUACCCCUGUAGUC